RNAcentral lists this ribosomal RNA (253 nucleotides) under uncultured bacterium. RNAcentral's name for it is "partial 16S ribosomal RNA". It matches the Rfam family "Bacterial small subunit ribosomal RNA", at positions 524 to 776 of the family's 1533-position model. The record is from RNAcentral.
UACAGAGGUCUCAAGCGUUGUUCGGAGUUACUGGGCGUAAAGAGUGCGUAGGCGGUUUUCUAAGUUUGGUGUGAAAUCUCCCGGCUCAACUGGGAGGGUGCGCCGAAGACUGGAAGGCUUGAGUAUGGGAGAGGUAAGCGGAAUUCCUGGUGUAGCGGUGAAAUGCGUAGAUAUCAGGAGGAACACCUGCGGUGUAGACGGCUUACUGGACCAUAACUGACGCUGAGGCACGAAAGCGUGGGUAGCAAACAGG